AGCUGGGACACUUAGGAGUAAGGAACCAGGUUUUAAGGACCCUGGCUCAGUUGUCAAAUGGAAAGGAUUGGAAUCUUCCUCAAAUCUGAGAGGCCCUUAAUACAAAUUAUAUGGGAAGGAAAAUGUUAAUCAAUAAGGUCUCCCCUUCGGAAACCUCUUAUCUCAUUCCCCUCCUCCUGCC
Long non-coding RNA from Mastomys coucha (southern multimammate mouse), 181 nucleotides. RefSeq lists it as uncharacterized. The record is from RefSeq and is a predicted model, not a curated record. Lineage: Eukaryota; Metazoa; Chordata; Mammalia; Rodentia; Muridae. The transcript is spliced from 3 exons.